CAUUUCCUUCUCCAGGGGAUCUUCCUGACUCAGGGAUUGAAGCCGGGUCUGCAUUGCCGGCGCAUUCUUUACCAUCUAAGCCACCAGGGUCUAACCUUACCAGCUUUAAAUGUUGACAUUUUCUAAUUUGUUAUAAAGAUAGUUAAUGCCAAAAAGUCUAGAAGGUAGAUAAAAGGGAAUGGUCAGCUUUUAGUAACUUUAUUGGUAACACUCCAUCUAUAAUAUCCAGUGAGAUUUGCUAAGUGUCAAGAGGUUUUAAACAGUAAAAGGAAAAUCUGAUUUGGUAGCCCUCCAGGUCUUCCCCAAUAGACUGAAAGUCCCAUUCCUGUUAGUAAAAUACACAAGGGCGCCUUCACUGGCAGUCCAGCGGCUGAGACUCCAUGCUUCCACUGCAGAAGGUGUGGGUCCAAUCCCUGGCUGGGAACUAAGAUCCCACAGGACGCACGAUAACCCAAAAGGCAGAAAAAAGGAGAACACAGAUUGGUUUAUUCUAUUGUUAAACAGUUAUUAAUGUGCCCCCCAAAGGUUAAGACGACCUAAGCAGGAGUUUUAGUGGCCAUUUUUGAAAGCCAAGUAACAUUCCACCUCUGACUGGCAUGAUCAAAGCUUCUCUGAUAGUCCCAAACCAUAGUGAAUGAAGUGCUACACACAACUGCAACCUGUGAAGUGUUUAGUUCCUUUAUUCUCAAAGACAACAAGAAAAGAAAGCACAUGAUGUUCUUCAAAAUUCUAAAAGCAGUGGAGUCAUUUGUGUCUCUAGUCAGGGGCUGGGGUUCCUGGCCCCUCCCUUUCCAGCAAGGCCAAGAGGUAACUUGAGGUAAUGUCUUUGCCUUGAGAAUGAGGGCUUGAAUUGCAGCAAAUAACCUACAUCUAUUUGCAUACUGAACCAGAACUCACAAGAGGGAUUAUAACAAAAACCUGUUCUGGACAGCUGCUUACUCAUUGCCUUUAGAGCUGUGCGGCGCUGGGACAGGCAGGUGCCAACCGUUUACUCAUUCUCUUUGACCUACUAGCCUUCCACGGUUUGCUGUGUGGGUGUUGAUGCUACUAAAAAAAAAAAAAAAAGUUGUUUUACAUGGUCCCCGCUCUCCCCAUACACCCUGGAUUCAUUUGAGAUCUGAGAUACUAGACUCUGUAGUUGGGAUGCCGGCCCAAACUGUGGCCCAGAGACAGUGAGUCAGUUCUAAGUGGCUGGCUGAGUCUCGGAACAGAAAUGAAACGCAACUUAGAGGCUUUGUCAGCCAAAUCCACAAAUGUGUGGCUUUUUGAAACAUCAGACAUCUGUUCUUUUUAAUUUAAAAUAAACCUUUUUAAAAAGCACAGAGUUACUUGGCGCCUUGUUCCUUUGUGUCAGCAGCAGUUGCUGCUGUAACUCAGUAAAGCCUCUAAUCAGAGUUAGAAAAUUUGGCAUCUUUCAGGGCACACCUCAGAGACUAAGUGGAGCUGAAUUGCUUGGGGAAGGGAAGAGAUGAUUUUACAGCACACGGUCUAUUUGGAAAUCCCCUUCUGGGGUAAUCAGCCCAGGUGUUCAACCCGUUUGUUAACCAUUUCCAAAUGACUCAAAGGACAUAAGGGAAGGCUUGGACACACUCCAGCACUGUUUCUACAGUGUUAGUAUCUGUUUGCGUUGGAAACCGCAUUCCUGAAUUCUUGAGGGGAAGGCUCUGGCUUUUUCUGGGUAUCCUUGGCUGAGAGGGACCCCUGGGCCACCUAUCUAAGCUAACAGUCCCAGUCUUCUGAGUUUCCAGGGAGGAGUGUGGACAGCUUGCUUUGAUGGCCUUCCACCCAGAGCCCUUUGGGAAAAACCUUGUUUAUUCAAGGAGGCCUCUGCCAGCCACUUUUCUCUCCCCCCACCCCACCUAAUUCCAAACGUCAUUUCCCUUUGUUGCCAUUUAUCCCCCUUUAGGGAACAGCAUGAGCAGCUUUUUCCUCCAGGCCACUCACUUGUGACUGACCCUGCCCGACAGCAUUGCUUAAUUGUGUCCCCGUCUGUUUCUGACGGAGGGAAAAAUUGUUUUUUGUGGAGUGAGGCAGUUUGGGAUUUGCAAAAAGGGAUGGGUUCCGCCUUUCCCCAAAGGUGGGGAAUGCCUGUUCAGAUUUCUCUUGUCUUCCUCUGGCUCCUUACCAGGCAGCAAAGAACAGCUCCGGUUCACUUCUCCCAGCAGGAAGUGCUGACGCCCGAUGCUCCAUGUUACCAGAGAACUGUUGUCCUCGACUUCCUUUUACAACUUAAAAAGAUGAAAGCCAAAAAUAAUGAGGGAAGGCUUUUAUCUGCCUUUCGUUUCUGAUGGCACUUCCUAGUGUCUUGAAUCACUUUCACCUGGAAGACAGUCCUAAGCCUCUUACAGCUGCCAGACUUUCUCUACCGAACCUCACAUGGUUUGGCCACACUCUUGAGACUCUUCAGGUGCCUCUUCUCCAUUUGGUCCUUUGCACCAACCUCCCUUCCACUCCCAUGUCCCCUCCAGAGUGUGUUCCUUGUAAACAGCCGCACACCACCAGCAAUCAAGAUUGGCUCCCAGGCACCUCCUCUGAUGUGCCCUGUACCAGGAAGCACAGUGGAUUUAUGAUAACUUUGAUAAUGAUUGCUUGCUUGCUUGCUUGCUUGCUUUGUACCAGGCAGGGUUUUCAGUGUUGUUUUACGUUAUUGUAUUUAAUCAUUAAAUCCUUCCAACAGCCCCAUGAGGAAAUGAAGGCAGAGAAGUUCAGUGAUUUGCUGGAGGAAGCAAGGAAGUAGAGCAAGAAUUAAACCUAGGUGUUCUGGCUGGCUCUUAGCCACUCAGUUCUGUGGAAAAGUCCAGUGCAAAAGUCCAAGUGUCUGCUUGCUUGUUUCAUCUUGUGAUCACAAGGAAAGGAAGCCAGAAGUAACGUGUUCAAAGUUUCAUACCUACAAAGUGCUCACUCCAUGGCAGUCUGAAUGUGUUCCCCCCAAAUUUACACGGUGAAACCCUAACUCUCAAGGUCCUGAUAUCAGGAGGUAAGGCCUUCGGGACUGAGAUUCUCACCACAGUGGAGCCCUCGUGAGUGCGGUGACAGGCCCACGAGAGCUCCUUCGCCUCUGCCGCCAGCUCAGGACACAGCAAGAAGACGCCGUCUGCAAACCACGAAGUGAGCCUUCACUGGACGUCGCAUCUGCUGGGACCUUACUCUUGGAAUUCCCGGCCUUCAGAAAUAAACUUCUGUGGUUUAUAAGCCA
This is a long non-coding RNA of Capra hircus (goat), 3196 nucleotides long. RefSeq lists it as uncharacterized. NCBI's taxonomy places the organism in Eukaryota, Metazoa, Chordata, Mammalia, Artiodactyla, Bovidae. The record is from RefSeq and is a predicted model, not a curated record. The transcript is spliced from 2 exons.